This 348-nucleotide transfer-messenger RNA is filed under the name bacterium. Its description in RNAcentral is "JAAZDD01 sp012512955 Standard tmRNA". It matches the Rfam family "transfer-messenger RNA". From Rfam's summary of the family: Bacterial tmRNA, also known as 10Sa RNA or SsrA, is named for its dual tRNA and mRNA-like properties. Its role is to liberate the mRNA from a stalled ribosome. RNAcentral also lists the same sequence under 2 other names. The record is from RNAcentral.
GGGGGCGUACUGGUUUCGACGGGGGAAUGUAUUGGCAAGAGUAGCCAGGCGGGGUUCCAUCAGCCCGUAAAACGGUGGACCUAAAUUAAACGCAGAAGAUAAUUACGCUUUAGCUGCUUAGUUCAGCUAACCUCCUACCUACUGCUCCCGCGGUGUAGGAUAGGGGGCCAACUAGCGGGAUACUUCAAGCCCACCGUCCGCUAAGCUUGAGGGAAAUUCAGCGGAUUAGUCGAUGCUGGAUCCUGUCCUUGGGAGCCUUCAUCGGCGAACGGAAAACAAGGACUAUCCUGGUAGAAGCUUUUGUGGGUACUCCUUCGGACGGGGGUUCGACUCCCCCCGCCUCCACCA